GUGUUAGUGUAUGUAGUGUGUGUGUGUGUUGUGUUAGUGUAUGUAGUGUGUGUGUGUUGUGUUAGUGUAUGCAGGGUGUGUGUUGUGUUAGUGUAUGUAGUGUGUGUGUUGUGUUAGUGUAUGCAGUGUGUGUGUUGUGUUAGUGUAUGCAGUGUGUUUGUUGUGUUAGUGUAUGUAGUGUGUGUGUUGUAUUAGUGUAUGCAGUGUGUGUGUUGUGUUAGUG
Molecule: long non-coding RNA, 223 nt
Filed under: Pelobates cultripes (western spadefoot toad)
Lineage: Eukaryota; Metazoa; Chordata; Amphibia; Anura; Pelobatidae
Source: RNAcentral